RNAcentral lists this unclassified non-coding RNA (583 nucleotides) under Penicillium sajarovii. RNAcentral describes it as "sequence contains 18S rRNA gene, ITS1, 5.8S rRNA gene, ITS2, 28S rRNA gene". The stretch from base 217 to 370 matches the Rfam family "5.8S ribosomal RNA". The record is from RNAcentral. Lineage: Eukaryota; Fungi; Ascomycota; Eurotiomycetes; Eurotiales; Aspergillaceae.
UCGUAACAAGGUUUCCGUAGGUGAACCUGCGGAAGGAUCAUUACUGAGUGAGGGCCCUCUGGGUCCAACCUCCCACCCGUGUUUAUUAUACCUUGUUGCUUCGGCGGGCCCGCCGUAAGGCCGCCGGGGGGCUUCUGCCCCCGGGCCCGCGCCCGCCGAAGACAUCUCGAACUCUGUCUGAAGAUUGUAGUCUGAGUAUAAAUAUAAAUUAUUUAAAACUUUCAACAACGGAUCUCUUGGUUCCGGCAUCGAUGAAGAACGCAGCGAAAUGCGAUACGUAAUGUGAAUUGCAGAAUUCAGUGAAUCAUCGAGUCUUUGAACGCACAUUGCGCCCUCUGGUAUUCCGGAGGGCAUGCCUGUCCGAGCGUCAUUGCUGCCCUCAAGCACGGCUUGUGUGUUGGGCCCCGUCCUCCGAUCCCGGGGGACGGGCCCGAAAGGCAGCGGCGGCACCGCGUCCGGUCCUCGAGCGUAUGGGGCUUUGUCACCCGCUCUGUAGGCCCGGCCGGCGCUUGCCGAUCAACCAAAUUUUUAUCCAGGUUGACCUCGGAUCAGGUAGGGAUACCCGCUGAACCUAAGCAUAUCA